CAGCAUGAUGGAGCAGCGCUGUCACAUUCCAGUAGAACCUUGCCUUUGUGGGACACUUCUGGAGCCUCAUCAUCGAUUUCCAGGAACAUAGCAAAGCUCAGGACUUGAAAUGCGGAAGCAAAAGGAAGCUCGGAGCCCUCUCUCUGGUGGGAACCAGUUCAGCAAACAGGAUUUUCCAGCUGAACUCUGCGGGCUCUUUGAACCCCUGUGAUUCUUGCUGUCUCCUGAGGGAGGAUGAGGAGCACCUUGUUCUGGGGAAGUGUUACCCUUUGUUCUCCUGUCCUAAAACGGUGGGUUAGAUCAGCCAAACCCUCUGCUCCAGAGCAAUCACGUCCCAGUCCUCUUCCCCAGUCCAAGCCCUCGAUCCUGGCCUGGUGUCACAUCCCGCUGCAGCCAAGGCAAAGGAAUACUGUGCCAGGAUCAGUCCAGGUCCAAGUGGCGACCGUGACAAAACCCGCUCCCGGGUGGUGCCCUCAGCGUCUGUGGGGGCGAAGCUUUGUGGUUUUGUGUGGGUUUAAGGUAUUAAUGCAGUUCCUGUGG
This is a non-coding RNA of Cyanistes caeruleus (blue tit), 540 nucleotides long. The record is from RefSeq and is a predicted model, not a curated record. Lineage: Eukaryota; Metazoa; Chordata; Aves; Passeriformes; Paridae.